AAGUCGUAACAAGGUUUCCGUAGGUGAACCUGCGGAAGGAUCAUUAUCAAAAUGAUUUUAACUCUCUUAAUCCAGAGUUAACCUCUUCUAAACCAAUCUAAUAAAAUGUGAAUUGUUAUAUUAUAUAUUUAUUGUGAAGGUGGGUGGGUUCUCACUCACUCGCUCGAUCAAUAAAUCUAUUCUUAUUUAACCAAUUGAACCCUUUUAUAAUUUUUGUUAUUUUAUUUCUAUUUAGUUCUGAAAUAUUAUUAUAUCUUCAAUAGCAAUAUUGAGCCUAUAAUAAGUUACAUUACGAAACAAUAUAAAUAAAACAACUCUUAGCAACGGAUAUCUUGGUUCUCGUAACGAUGAAGAACGUAGC
RNAcentral lists this unclassified non-coding RNA (361 nucleotides) under fungal sp. Its description in RNAcentral is "partial internal transcribed spacer region". The stretch from base 1 to 46 matches the Rfam family "Eukaryotic small subunit ribosomal RNA", at positions 1786 to 1831 of the family's 1831-position model. The record is from RNAcentral. Lineage: Eukaryota; Fungi.